RNAcentral lists this transfer RNA (72 nucleotides) under Danionella translucida. It matches the Rfam family "tRNA". From Rfam's summary of the family: Transfer RNA (tRNA) molecules are approximately 80 nucleotides in length. Their secondary structure includes four short double-helical elements and three loops (D, anti-codon, and T loops). RNAcentral also lists the same sequence under 1 other name. The record is from Rfam by way of RNAcentral. Lineage: Eukaryota; Metazoa; Chordata; Actinopteri; Cypriniformes; Danionidae.
GGUUCUAUGGUGUAAUGGUUAGCACGCUGGACUCUGAAUCCAGCAAUCUGAGUUCAAAUCUCGGUAGGACAU